GGAAUCACCUGACUCCCAGCAGCAGAGGGGGGAGGAGGAGUCACGAGGAGGGCCGCCCGGCCGCGCCUCUCGCCGUGCUCCGUCUCUCUGCCCGGGGCCCAGCCCGUACGCACCUUGGUCCUGCCCUGCACGCACAGUGCUCCUCAGUUUCUCUACCUUCUUCCGAGCUCUCGAGAGCACCACAAGGGGAGAUGCUCUGCUUUGGAGGAAGAACCGAUUGUCCUCCUCCUCCAAUUUGUACUCGCCGAACCCGAUACUUAUUGAUGCCUGUGACGUCCUGAGUAUCUAACAAGGGGCUUGAAACUGGAACCGACUUGGACCUGCCUGCCCUCACAACUGCUUGAAGAUUUAAGAGAUCGGACCUCUGCGGAAAUCCUUUCUCUCCUGUUUUGGAAUGGCUAUCAACAUGGCAAGUGCAGUGAUCAGUGAGGGCAUAAACUCCUCCUGAAGCACCCACAAGAAACCUGAGUGGAUCAAAAAUGGAACUGGCAAGGGAACCUAAAGAAAUAAAACGCAAAGGAUCAGACAUGAUGAGAAACAUCAGAUACAAAUCUUUCCAAUCUAAGGUAAAAGUUUGGAACAGAGCUUCUCCAAUUGUCCUUUUGAACAAUAUGUCACAGAAAGAUUAAAGAUGGAUAGAGGUGUACCUUUUUUUGAAAAGCCAAAGAAGAGAAACAAUGAGAGCAAAAUUGAAAGGAGAAUUGAAAGGAAUCUAGAGAAGAAGAAAGCAUUUAAGAAGCAAUACCUGUGGAGGCUGAGGAUCUGGAAACUGGCUCCUUCAAAGCCAUCAGUUGCAGGAUGACUGGCAUAUUCCACACACCCUCCCCAGGCACACGCAGAGCUAGGUGGAAUUCCUGGCCACCCAUCUACAACUCUAUCUCUUACAUAAGAAAGCACAUGGGACUGCAAGUUAGCAAGAAGAACGUCUUUGAAUCUGCUCCAAGUUAUACAAAUGUAAAUUAUUCAUAAAUUUCAGCGCUUUUAUUAGAAGGAACAGUUAGCAGUGAUCCAGUGUACAACUAAGGACAGAAUGUUAAUUGACCAGGACAUGGGACAACUCAAGAGGCUGUUCAUGAGCAAACCAUCACAAGGUCCUAAAAAGAAAAUCUUAUUUCCUCAUUAAGGAGAGGACCCCACUAGCCAGAAAACCUCUGUCAUCACCUAGACCCUGAGCAUUGGUCACACUUUUGAAAUGCAAAUCAGGGUCUAUGGUAUAAAGUCCAAGUUCAUUAACAAGGUUCACAAAGGCUUCCUGACCUGAGACCUAUUUUUCCACUUUCAGUUCUUGCCAUUCCCUGCAAUACACCCUAUAUUCCAGCCUACUGAGCCCUGAGCAGUUCCAGCUCCCACUUUCCACUAAGCCUCUUCAUAAGCUUCUCCCUCUGUUAGAACAUCUUCCCUUCCCAGUUUGUUCUCCUGGAGAAGUCUGAGUACCCCUCUGACCUUUACACCUCCUCUGCAAAGCCUUAGUGGGCAUCUAUCUCAUACCUGGUGCUGUGCUAGGCCCGGCAGAAAGAAAGCAGGCAUGGUAGAAUUAAAUGCCCCUCUUAGGCCCCUCAGCAGCCUCUGCUCAUGUCUGAAGUAUAUUCUUUGUAUUAUAACUGUCACGAGAUGUGAACAUCCCAAAACAGGACUUUUGUCUUACUUAUCUUUGAAUCCCAAUUAUCCCAGUCAAUGGAAUCCAUCAAUAAAUAUCUGUCAGCUUCA
Non-coding RNA from Ictidomys tridecemlineatus (thirteen-lined ground squirrel), 1707 nucleotides. The record is from RefSeq and is a predicted model, not a curated record. Lineage: Eukaryota; Metazoa; Chordata; Mammalia; Rodentia; Sciuridae.